ACGGCUUUUUCCUUACACAAAAAGGGAGACGACUUGUGGAAGCAGCUCAGUCCCAACAAGUUUCAGCAUGCAUAGCUUCCACUACUUGAUAUCCAUUGUUCUCUUCGUUGCCGUCCUGUUUCCAGGAGGUGACGGGUUGCCGGCCGAAAUAAUUGAAGAGGACGUGUACAGUCAGCCGAUUUCAGACACUAAAGAUUGCAUCGGAAAGGAUCCAGUAGAACUGCCAGUACCACAGCCUAAAGAGUGGCGGACUGAGGGUAAAAUCGAUGACGACUGGGAUCCAGAAAAGAAGGUGGACGUGGUAGAUGUAACAUACAAAGAGGUCGUACCAGGUAGCGGCGACUGGGAUAGCAGAGACGACAAAAACAGUGGCGCAUGGGAGUCUGGUGAGAAAGGAUGGAAGAAACAUGGCAGACGAGGGAGGAAGAAAGGUCACGGUUUGGGUAGAACUGUGUCGCGACUGGCGCACGGUUAUUGAGCGAACUGACAACAUCGUCGUUCAAGAGCUGCACUGAAUUCUUAUCAUCUACGUAACUGAAUACGGAAGCUCAUGGAGAAGCUCAACAUCUACUUCAGGAAGACUGAGAACACAACGACAAUUCCAUUUGUCAACCAUAAUGGAAAUUAAUAUAGUUGAAUAAAUACCUCUUAG
Long non-coding RNA from Schistocerca gregaria, 652 nucleotides. RefSeq lists it as uncharacterized. The transcript is spliced from 3 exons. The record is from RefSeq and is a predicted model, not a curated record. Lineage: Eukaryota; Metazoa; Arthropoda; Insecta; Orthoptera; Acrididae.